Molecule: long non-coding RNA, 1129 nt
Organism: Eubalaena glacialis (North Atlantic right whale)
Lineage: Eukaryota; Metazoa; Chordata; Mammalia; Artiodactyla; Balaenidae
Exons: 4
Source: RefSeq, a predicted model, not a curated record
GCAGCCUUGAGAGAGUCAGGUGGUGUUGAGACCAUCUGAACUGAAUAUAGGACUGAACCCCUAUAUGAACUUUUAAGAUUCUGGUGGCCGGGUGUGGCGCUCUACUCAUCUUGCCUCCGCCCAAGACAAGCCUCCACUGGAGUGAACACUGGGUUUUCUAGAGUUAUUGAAGGAUAACACGAAGGCCUUCAACCAUGUGGCAACUUUCUAAGAGAUUUUCAAAGCCUCAAGACUAAUUUAGAUGGAAAUCAGAUGGAAAGUCUGAUGCUGUGGAUUGUUUGUUGAAUUAUAAGGCAUCUCUGGGAAAGUUCUCAGGAGAUCUGAAGAGCAAGAUCGUUAAUCUGCUGGUGUCUCUUUGCUGUCUGCUGCCUGUGAGUCACCCGGGGAAGCAUCUCACCACUGUCACUUGCUGGUGCUGUGCUGAAUGUCUCAGUCCCUUCUGUUGCCCUUUCCCCAACUGUUCCACAUUUUAUCACUUGGGCUCCGCUCAGCCUGUAUAAGUCACAGUCUCAAGGAGUUCCUCCUCAACACAGCCCCCUCCAGCUCCACCUUCAACCUUCAGCUAUUCUCCAGUCUCCACCUUCUAAAUCCUACCCCUGCCCUUUACACACACACACACACACACACACACACACACACACACACACACACACAGUCCUCAUGUCCUUCAUGCAGUUCUGGCACUCAAAGGCCAAACCUCUCCAGCCAAAAACAAGAGUCUUUCCUCAUUUCAACUUAAGCAAGUGGGUUGGGAGGAGGAGGAAGAGGGCAUGCUCUGUAUAAUUGCAGUCAUUUGCUCUGGUUCCGCCAUGAAUAUCCAACCUGAUAUUCAUGAUAUUAGAGAAAGGGGAAAUCAGAGUGAAAGAGGUUAAAUAGGGAAAGGGGGGUAUAAAAUAAGAAAAUAAGAAGAGAAGAGCUCAGCCAUUGCAGUUUCUUGGAAGGGGAAAGGAAAUGAAAGGGGCACACAGCAGUGGUGAGGAGAACAGAGGCAGGGUUUCAUGUGCAGCUCUACCACUUAUGUGACUUGGGGCAAGUCACCAAAAUCCUCUGCACCUAAUUUGUCUCACCUUCAAAUCGGGAAUAAUCAUAGUAUCUGCCUCACAGGGUUAUGUUGAGGAUUGCAUUAAUA